AGCUUGCUGCAGCAAGAUGUGUUCCAAAACUGGAAUGAUCAACAAGAAGACCAAUAAGGCCCCCGGAGAAGGAUGACAUACAAAUUCAUCAAGCGUUCUGUAUUUUU
Molecule: small nuclear RNA, 107 nt
Filed under: Echinops telfairi (small Madagascar hedgehog)
Lineage: Eukaryota; Metazoa; Chordata; Mammalia; Afrosoricida; Tenrecidae
Source: RNAcentral